UACAGAGGGUGCAAGCGUUAAUCGGAAUUACUGGGCGUAAAGCGUGCGUAGGUGGUGAGUUAAGUCUGUCGUGAAAGCCCCGGGCUCAACCUGGGAAUGGCGAUGGAUACUGGCUCGCUAGAGUGCGGUAGAGGAGAGUGGAAUUCCCGGUGUAGCAGUGAAAUGCGUAGAUAUCAAGAGGAACACCUGAGGUGAAGACGGGUUGCUGGGCUGACACUGACGCUGAGGCGCGAAAGCCAGGGGAGCAAACGGG
Molecule: ribosomal RNA, 253 nt
Filed under: uncultured bacterium
Lineage: Bacteria
Description: partial 16S ribosomal RNA
Rfam family: Bacterial small subunit ribosomal RNA
Source: RNAcentral